This is a long non-coding RNA of Nematolebias whitei (Rio pearlfish), 162 nucleotides long. RefSeq lists it as uncharacterized. NCBI's taxonomy places the organism in Eukaryota, Metazoa, Chordata, Actinopteri, Cyprinodontiformes, Rivulidae. The record is from RefSeq and is a predicted model, not a curated record. The transcript has 3 exons.
UGGCUGGGGGAAGCAGGUGCAUGGCUACUACCAGAUCGGACGAUUAACACACAGAGGGGCAUUUUCAUCCGAUUAAGUCUGAAAUUAUCUUGGAAUUGGCCAGGUGGACUUGGAUGGACUUGAAUGAACUUGGAUUUCCUCAAACCUUGUCAGUCAGCUUGG